AUGCGGGACUCAUCAGAGGCCUCGCAAUUGGAAUGAGCGCACUUUAAAUCGUUCGACGAGGAUCUAUUGGAGGGCAAGUCUGGUGCCAGCAGCCGCUGUAAUUCCAGCUCCAAUAGCGUAUAUUAAAGUUGUUGCAGUUAAAAAGCUCGUAGUUGGAUCUGGGGUUCGGGUCGGCGGUUUGCCGCUUCGGCGGCUACUGCCGUGCUCGACUCUUACUAGCCGGUGCGUCUUGCGGUGCUCUUCAUCGAGUGCCGUAGGAGCCUGGCAUGUUUACUUUGAAAAAAUUAGAGUGCUCAAAGCAGGCGAUUCCGCCUGAAUAGUGUCGCAUGGAAUAAUGGAAUAGGACCUCGGUUCUAUUUUGUUGGUUUUCGGAACUUGAGGUAAUGAUUAAGAGGGACGGUCGGGGGCAUUCGUAUUUCGGUGUUAGAGGUGAAAUUCUUGGAUCGCUGAAAGACGGACAAAUGCGAAAGCAUCUGCCAAGAACGUCUCCAUUAAUCAAGAACGAAAGUCAGAGGUUCGAAGACGAUCAGACACCGUCCUAGUUCUGACCAUAAACGAUGCCAACUAGCGAUCCGCAGUGGUUGCUAUAAACGGACUCUGCGAGCAGCUUCCGGGAAACCAAAGUGUUUGGGUUCCGGGGGAAGUAUGGUUGCAAAGCUGAAACUUAAAGGAAUUGACGGAAGGGCACCACCAGGAGUGGAGCCUGCGGCUUAAUUUGACCCAACACGGGGAAACUCACCCGGUCCGGACACUGUAAGGAUUGACAGAUCGAGAGCUCUUUCUUGAUUCGGUGGAUGGUGGUGCAUGGCCGUUCUUAGUUGGUAGAGUGAUUUGUCUGGUUAAUUCCGAUAACGAACGAGACUCUAGCCUGCUAACUAGUUGCGCCGUGUUCAUACGCGGCUGUAGACUUCUUAGAGGGACAGGUGGCGUUUAGCCACACGAAAUUGAGCAAUAACAGGUCUGUGAUGCCCUUAGAUGUCCGGGGCCGCACGCGCGCUACACUGAAGGAGUCAGCGUGUGCUAUCCGGGCUCGGAAGAGUUCGGUAACCCGUUGAAACUCCUUCGUGCUUGGGAUUGUGGCUUGUAAUUAUCGCGCAUGAACGAGGAAUUCCCAGUAAGUGCAAGUCAUCAGCUUGCGCUGACUACGUCCCUGCCCUUUGUACACACCGCCCGUCGCUACUACCGAUUGAAUGGUUUAGCAAGGUACUCGGAUUGGUCUCGAUCUUGUACGAAAGUGCGGGAUCUGUGGCC
This 1251-nucleotide ribosomal RNA is filed under the name metagenome. RNAcentral's name for it is "SSU rRNA". It matches the Rfam family "Eukaryotic small subunit ribosomal RNA", at positions 483 to 1748 of the family's 1831-position model. The record is from RNAcentral.